This 253-nucleotide ribosomal RNA is filed under the name uncultured bacterium. Its description in RNAcentral is "partial 16S ribosomal RNA". It matches the Rfam family "Bacterial small subunit ribosomal RNA", at positions 524 to 776 of the family's 1533-position model. The record is from RNAcentral.
UACGUAGGGGGCGAGCGUUGUCCGGAUUUAUUGGGCGUAAAGCGCUCGCAGGUGGUCCGCUGCGUCGUGCGUGAAAGACCCCGGCUCAACUGGGGGAUGUCGUGCGAUACGGGCGGACUGGAGGCCAGUAGGGGGAUGCGGAAUUCCGGGUGUAGUGGUGGAAUGCGUAGAGAUCCGGAGGAACACCAGCGGCGAAGGCGGCAUCCUGGACUGGUCCUGACACUCAGGAGCGAAAGCGUGGGGAGCGAUCCGG